CAGACCUCUAAUCGGAAAAGACUACCCGCUGAGUUUAAGCAUAUCACUAAGCGGA
RNAcentral lists this ribosomal RNA (55 nucleotides) under Eurhynchiastrum pulchellum. RNAcentral's name for it is "partial 26S ribosomal RNA". RNAcentral also lists the same sequence under 1 other name. The record is from RNAcentral. Lineage: Eukaryota; Viridiplantae; Streptophyta; Bryopsida; Hypnales; Brachytheciaceae.